RNAcentral lists this non-coding RNA (182 nucleotides) under Natronospirillum operosum. Its description in RNAcentral is "6S / SsrS RNA". It matches the Rfam family "6S / SsrS RNA". From Rfam's summary of the family: E. coli 6S RNA was the first non coding RNA to be sequenced, but its function was unknown until recently. It consists of 184 nucleotides that fold into an extended hairpin structure with a large single-stranded internal bulge. The record is from Rfam by way of RNAcentral. Lineage: Bacteria; Pseudomonadati; Pseudomonadota; Gammaproteobacteria; Oceanospirillales; Natronospirillaceae.
GCUACCCUGGGCUACUCGCCAGUUGAUUCGUCCUCGAGCCGUAUUUAUACGACAGGGGGCUCUUCGCUGACGUUGUUGAGCAUGUCCGUCCUGGUGCGGAAAGCCUGAUACAUCACUAGAGUCACCCACCUUGAACUUAACGGUUCAAGGCCUUACUCAACAGCGGUAGCACCGGGGAACCU